ACACCGGCAGCUCAAGUGGUAGCCGCUUUUAUUGGGCCUAAAGCGUCCGUAGCCGGUCUGAUAAGUCUCUGGUGAAAUCCCACAGCUUAACUGUGGGAAUUGCUGGAGAUACUAUCAUGACUCGAGGUCGGGAGAGGCUGGAGGUACUCCCAGGGUAGGGGUGAAAUCCUGUAAUCCUGGGAGGACCACCUGUGGCGAAGGCGUACAGCUGGAACGAACCUGACGGUGAGGGACGAAAGCCAGGGGCGCGAACCGGAUUAGAUACCCGGUGAGUCCUGGCCGUAAACGAUGUGGACUUGGUGUUGGGAUGGCUUCGAGCUGCCCCAGUGCCGAGGGAAGCUGUUAAGUCCACCGCCUGGGAAGUACGGUCGCAAGACUGAAACUUAAAUGAAUUGGCGGGG
This 401-nucleotide ribosomal RNA is filed under the name uncultured bacterium. RNAcentral describes it as "partial 16S ribosomal RNA". It matches the Rfam family "Archaeal small subunit ribosomal RNA", at positions 473 to 873 of the family's 1478-position model. The record is from RNAcentral.